AGGGUUGUAGUUAAUUAUAACAUUUGAUUUGCACUCAAAAAGUACUUCCAAAUAAGUCUUCCUUA
RNAcentral lists this transfer RNA (65 nucleotides) under Typhoptera quadrituberculata. Its description in RNAcentral is "tRNA-Ala". It matches the Rfam family "tRNA". Rfam says of the family: Transfer RNA (tRNA) molecules are approximately 80 nucleotides in length. Their secondary structure includes four short double-helical elements and three loops (D, anti-codon, and T loops). The record is from RNAcentral. Lineage: Eukaryota; Metazoa; Arthropoda; Insecta; Orthoptera; Tettigoniidae.